Molecule: long non-coding RNA, 1094 nt
Organism: Rhinopithecus roxellana (golden snub-nosed monkey)
Lineage: Eukaryota; Metazoa; Chordata; Mammalia; Primates; Cercopithecidae
Exons: 3
Source: RefSeq, a predicted model, not a curated record
AGCCUCUCCCUUGCUCUCUCCCACCACAAACACCCCGACAGAUGGAUGCCUCCUAGCCCGCCGGCCUCUACACCCCGCCGAGAUGGGAGUACCGCAGCAUCCCACGGGAGCAGCCACGCCCACCUGAUGAGCACUGGUGGCUUCCUUCCCACUCAGCUCUGGGAACAAGAGACCACCCCUGCAAAGAAUGCAGCCCCUCCACUUCCCUUCUGUGCCCUCCCUGUGCACCCCCCUCCACCAACUGCUCUCCAGAAAGGAUUCUUUUUUAGGUGGUUUAUGGAGCUGCUCUUGGGGAGCCUGGAGACUACCUAAGAAGCUGAUAGGGUGGCCCAGAUAAACACACCAGGGUGACCUGCGGGACAGAGAUCUGAGCAGGGCCAGCACUCCCGCCAACCCAUCCAGGUUGCAACAGUCUACAGUCACAUCCCCAGGAAGGAGCAGCCAGAUCUCCCCAUCACUAUUUACCAAUGCUUUUCUCUAGAAUAAGGCUUUACUGUCAGUUCUCGUUAUGAAAAUUAUCGAUGUUCCUUGAAGAAAAGCAAGCAGAAGAGAAUAAAUAUUGCUCUCAACUGGAACUCCCUGAAAUAACCUCUUGGAAUAUUGUUACCCUGCAUUGCACUGACACAGGAGCGUGCCGGGCAGCCCACGUGAUUCCCUUCACACCACUUCCCUGGCAUGGAUGCGAUUCCACAUAUUUUAAACAUUAAAGCCAUGGGGAUGAUGAUCACUGGGUCUGGCUCACGGGAUGUUGAGAGGUCCCCAGGUUGGGGUGUACCAAGGGCUCUCCCCAGUGCCUGGCACAGCAAAUUCCCGGGUGGUUGCUGUUUUCCACUGAUACUUGAGGCUUCCAAGAGUUGGUGGCAAGGGGCUCACCCAGAGCUGAAGACCCCAGCCCAUUCCUGUGCGAGGGCUCCAGGCACCUUGGAAGCACCGUGGGCCGGGGAGCCAGGACUGGCUGGGUGUGGAUCCCCGUGUGUCCUUGUCACUGCGUGACCCAGCUGGAAAGCGCGGUCAAUAGUGUCUGGGAAUUGUGAAAAUUGUGUGAGGUAUCCGCACACAGUAGGUGUUCAGUAAAGGGUUGCUGAGUGUGUAAA